GUCCUCUUCGUCUAGUGGUCAGGACAUCGGGUUUUCAUCCCGACAACGGGGGUUCAAUUCCCCCAGAGGAUG
Molecule: transfer RNA, 72 nt
Filed under: Treponema sp.
Lineage: Bacteria; Pseudomonadati; Spirochaetota; Spirochaetia; Treponematales; Treponemataceae
Description: tRNA-Glu
Rfam family: tRNA
About the family: Transfer RNA (tRNA) molecules are approximately 80 nucleotides in length. Their secondary structure includes four short double-helical elements and three loops (D, anti-codon, and T loops).
Source: RNAcentral